CCUACGGGUGGCAGCAGUGGGGGAUAUUGCACAAUGGGGGAAACCCUGAUGCAGCGACGCCGCGUGGGUGAAGAAGCGCCUCGGCGCGUAAAGCCCUGUCAGCAGGGAAGAAAAUGACGGUACCUGAAGAAGAAGCCCCGGCUAACUACGUGCCAGCAGCCGCGGUAAUACGUAGGGGGCAAGCGUUAUCCGGAUUUACUGGUUGUAAAGGGGGCGCAGACGGCGAUGCAAGCCAGGAGUGAAAGCCCGGGGCCCAACCUCGGGACUGCUCUUGGAACUGCGUGGCUAGAGUGCAGGAGGGGCAGGCGGAAUUCCUGGUGUAGCGGUGAAAUGCGUAGAGAUCAGGAGGAACACCGGUGGCGAAGGCGGCCUGCUGGACUGCAACUGACGUUGAGGCCCGAAAGCGUGGGGAGCAAACAGGAUUAGAUACCCCAGUAGUC
Molecule: ribosomal RNA, 440 nt
Filed under: uncultured bacterium
Lineage: Bacteria
Description: partial 16S ribosomal RNA
Rfam family: Bacterial small subunit ribosomal RNA
Source: RNAcentral